GGUUCCGUAGCUCAGUGGUAGAGCAUUUGACUGUAGAUCAAGAGGUCACUAGUUUGAACUUGGUAGAGCCU
This 71-nucleotide transfer RNA is filed under the name Capsicum annuum. It matches the Rfam family "tRNA". Rfam says of the family: Transfer RNA (tRNA) molecules are approximately 80 nucleotides in length. Lineage: Eukaryota; Viridiplantae; Streptophyta; Magnoliopsida; Solanales; Solanaceae. The record is from Rfam by way of RNAcentral.